RNAcentral lists this microRNA (22 nucleotides) under Danio rerio (zebrafish). RNAcentral describes it as "Dre-Mir-194-P4b_3p* (star (passenger))". Lineage: Eukaryota; Metazoa; Chordata; Actinopteri; Cypriniformes; Danionidae. The record is from RNAcentral.
CCAGUGGAGCUGCUGUUGCGUG